UACGUAGGGUGCGAGCGUUAAUCGGAAUUACUGGGCGUAAAGCGUGCGCAGGCGGUUUUGUAAGUCAGAUGUGAAAUCCCCGGGCUUAACCUGGGAACUGCGUUUGAAACUACAAGGCUAGAGUGUGGCAGAGGGGGGUGGAAUUCCACGUGUAGCAGUGAAAUGCGUAGAGAUGUGGAGGAACACCGAUGGCGAAGGCAGCACCCUGGGAUAACACUGACGCUGAUGCACGAAAGCGUGGGGAGCAAACAGG
This 253-nucleotide ribosomal RNA is filed under the name uncultured bacterium. Its description in RNAcentral is "partial 16S ribosomal RNA". It matches the Rfam family "Bacterial small subunit ribosomal RNA", at positions 524 to 776 of the family's 1533-position model. The record is from RNAcentral.